UACAGAGGGGGCAAGCGUUAUUCGGAAUUAUUGGGCGUAAAGGGCGCGUAGGCGGCAUGGCAAGUGGAUGGUGAAAUCCCUCGGCUUAACCGAGGAACUGCCGUCCAAACUGCUUCGCUUGAGACCGGGAGAGGUGAGUGGAAUUCCCAGUGUAGCGGUGAAAUGCGUAGAUAUUGGGAGGAACACCAGCGGCGAAGGCGGCUCACUGGACCGGUACUGACGCUGAAGCGCGAAAGCGUGGGGAGCAAACGGG
Molecule: ribosomal RNA, 253 nt
Filed under: uncultured bacterium
Lineage: Bacteria
Description: partial 16S ribosomal RNA
Rfam family: Bacterial small subunit ribosomal RNA
Source: RNAcentral